Molecule: ribosomal RNA, 263 nt
Filed under: uncultured Staphylococcus sp.
Lineage: Bacteria; Bacillati; Bacillota; Bacilli; Caryophanales; Staphylococcaceae
Description: partial 16S ribosomal RNA
Rfam family: Bacterial small subunit ribosomal RNA
Source: RNAcentral
CGGACGGGUGAGUAACACGUGGAUACCCUACCUAUAAGACUGGGAUAACUUCGGGAAACCGGAGCUAAUACCGGAUAAUAUAUUGAACCGCAUGGUUCAAUAGUGAAAGACGGUUUUGCUGUCACUUAUAGAUGGAUCCGCGCCGCAUUAGCUAGUUGGUAAGGUAACGGCUUACCAAGGCAACGAUGNGUAGCCGACCUGAGAGGGUGAUCGGCCACACUGGAACUGAGACACGGUCCAGACUCCUACGGGAGGCAGCAGCG